UUUCGUUAGUCCCAGACCAGGAGCAGUAGAGGCAACAUCAAAAUCCAAAUUUCUUGUUUAGUUUUCAGUUUUUUUUUUAUUUUUGGGUUCCUGUCAAAAAGGUGAAUCAAAAUUUGUACACAAAUUGUGUGGCAAUAUAUUAAUAAUUUUAUUGUUUAGAAAUUGUACGGCUCAAAAUGUGUUAUGGACCUUGUGGACCGUGCUACGGCGGAUGCUACAGUCCUUGCUGUAGCCCCUGCUGUGGGCCAUGUGGACCGUGUGGACCAUGUGGACCGUGUGGACCCUGUGGACCCUGUUGCAGUCCCUGCUGUGGACCGUGCUGUGGACCCUGCGGUGGAUGCUGCAGCAGCUGUGGACCUUCUUGCUGAGGAUCAACAUCGCCAACUAGCUAACUGAAUUCCAAUUUGCCAAAUGUCUUUGCUGACUUAUUCGACUUGAAGACAAGAUCAAGUCGUAAUAAAGCUGGAUGGGAAACGAA
This 478-nucleotide long non-coding RNA is filed under the name Drosophila guanche. Lineage: Eukaryota; Metazoa; Arthropoda; Insecta; Diptera; Drosophilidae. The record is from RNAcentral.